This 29-nucleotide non-coding RNA is filed under the name Rattus norvegicus (Norway rat). Lineage: Eukaryota; Metazoa; Chordata; Mammalia; Rodentia; Muridae. The record is from RNAcentral.
CACCUGCCUCUGCUUCCUGACUGCUGGAC